RNAcentral lists this ribosomal RNA (549 nucleotides) under Trigonopterus gracilipes. RNAcentral's name for it is "SSU rRNA". It matches the Rfam family "Eukaryotic small subunit ribosomal RNA", at positions 45 to 572 of the family's 1831-position model. Lineage: Eukaryota; Metazoa; Arthropoda; Insecta; Coleoptera; Curculionidae. The record is from RNAcentral.
UAAGCCAUGCAUGUCUCAGUACAAGCCAAAUUAAGGUGAAACCGCGAAAGGCUCAUUAAAUCAGUUAUGGUUCCUUAGAUCGUACCCACAAUUACUUGGAUAACUGUGGUAAUUCUAGAGCUAAUACAUGCAAACAGAGCUCCGACCGGAGACGGAAGGAGUGCUUUUAUUAGAUCAAAACCAAUCGGUGGCGGGUUCGCUCGUUAUCGUACAACUUGGUGACUCUGAAUAACUUUACGCUGAUCGCACGGUCAUCGCACCGGCGACGCAUCUUUCAAAUGUCUGCCUUAUCAACUGUCGAUGGUAGGUUCUGCGCCUACCAUGGUUGUAACGGGUAACGGGGAAUCAGGGUUCGAUUCCGGAGAGGGAGCCUGAGAAACGGCUACCACAUCCAAGGAAGGCAGCAGGCGCGCAAAUUACCCACUCCCGGCACGGGGAGGUAGUGACGAAAAAUAACGAUACGGGACUCAUCCGAGGCCCCGUAAUCGGAAUGAGUACACUCUAAACCCUUUAACGAGGAUCAAUUGGAGGGCAAGUCUGGUGCCAGCA